RNAcentral lists this ribosomal RNA (517 nucleotides) under uncultured fungus. Its description in RNAcentral is "eukaryotic LSU rRNA". The stretch from base 122 to 275 matches the Rfam family "5.8S ribosomal RNA". Lineage: Eukaryota; Fungi. The record is from RNAcentral.
CCCCUUGUGCACACCUUGUAGGCACCCAAACCCACCUAUGUAUUCCUUCAUCUCACACUCUGUUGAAUGGUGCCAUGGGACGCAUCUAAAGGAUUAUUUGUAAAAAAGUAAUCAUAGAAACAACUUUCAACAAUGGAUCUCUUGGCUCUCGCAUCGAUGAAGAACGCAGCGAAAUGCGAUACGUAAUGUGAAUUGCAGAAUUCCGUGAAUCAUCGAAUCUUUGAACGCACCUUGCGCCUCUUGGUAUUCCGAGGGGCAUGCCUGUUUGAGUGUCAUUGAAACCCUCAAGAAGAAAGUCUUUCGGGGCCUUCUUUUUGGAACUGGAGUGUGCUGGCCUUUUCGUGGAAGAGCCCAGCUCCUCUGAAAUGCAUUGGCGAUGUGACAUCCUCAUGCCAUCACGCUUCUCUAGCAUUGAUAGUCUCUUUCAUGCUUUAGUGUGUUGUGCUUAGGUGGAAAGUUUCGCUCGCUUACAGACCCAUUGGGGGUUCCCCCCCAUGCUUUGACCAAAUUAACCUCA